Aedes albopictus (Asian tiger mosquito) is the source of this 73-nucleotide non-coding RNA. NCBI's taxonomy places the organism in Eukaryota, Metazoa, Arthropoda, Insecta, Diptera, Culicidae. The record is from Rfam.
UGUUCUGUGGCUUAUUUGGUAAAAGCGCCGAUCUAGCGAUACGGAGUCAUGGGUUUGAAUCCCACCAAAACAA